CGGCGAGUGAGCGGGAAGAGCUCAAAUUUGAAAUCUGGUGGCCUCAGGUCAUCCGAGUUGUAAUCUAUAGAAGUGUUUUCCGUGCUGGCUCAUGUACAAGUCCCUUGGAACAGGGCGUCAUAGAGGGUGAGAAUCCCGUCCUUGACAUGAACUACCAGUGCUCUGUGAUACAUUUUCAACGAGUCGAGUUGUUUGGGAAUGCAGCUCAAAAUGGGUGGUAAAUUCCAUCUAAAGCUAAAUAUUGGCGAGAGACCGAUAGCGAACAAGUACCGUGAGGGAAAGAUGAAAAGCACUUUGGAAAGAGAGUUAAACAGUAUGUGAAAUUGUUGAAAGGGAAACGAUUGAAGUCAGUCGUGCUCUUUGGAUUCAGCCGGUUCUGCCGGUGUACUUCCUUUGAGUGGGGUCAACAUCAGUUUUGAUCGCUGGAUAAAGGCUGGAGGAACGUAGUACCCUCGGGUAAACUUAUAGCCUCCUGUCACAUACAGUGGUUGGGACUGAGGAACGCAGCACGCCUUUAUGGCCGGGAUUCGUCCACGUACGUGCUUAGGAUGUUGACAUAAUGGCUUUAAACGACCCGUCUUGA
RNAcentral lists this ribosomal RNA (583 nucleotides) under Filobasidium magnum. RNAcentral describes it as "eukaryotic LSU rRNA". It matches the Rfam family "Eukaryotic large subunit ribosomal RNA", at positions 87 to 657 of the family's 3401-position model. The record is from RNAcentral. Lineage: Eukaryota; Fungi; Basidiomycota; Tremellomycetes; Filobasidiales; Filobasidiaceae.